This 1158-nucleotide small RNA is filed under the name Pan troglodytes (chimpanzee). Its description in RNAcentral is "retained intron". The record is from RNAcentral. Lineage: Eukaryota; Metazoa; Chordata; Mammalia; Primates; Hominidae.
UGUCCCACACCCUGAGAAGCAAGGACUAAGCCCAGGGAGUCUGUGCCAGCCAGGGCAGGGGCCUGCUGCUGGGGCUGGCAGUCAGGAAGAUGCCAAGCGGAAUGCUGAGCCUGGCCUUGGCACCCACAGGUAGUGCUUGUUCGCGGAUCUGGCAGAGCCCACGUUUCAUAGCCAGGAAACGGGGCUUCACGGUGAAAAUGCACUGCUACCUGAACAGCGCCUCCGGCAAUGUGAGCUGGCUCUGGAAGCAGGAGAUGGACGAGAAUGCCCAGCAGCUGAAGCUGGAAAAGGGCCGCAUGGAAGAGUCCCAGAACGAAUCUCUCGCCACCCUCACCAUCCAAGGCAUCCGGUUUGAGGACAAUGGCAUCUACUUCUGCCAGCAGAAGUGCAACAACACCUCGGAGGUCUACCAGGGCUGCGGCACAGAGCUGCGAGUCAUGGGAUUCAGCACCUUGGCACAGCUGAAGCAGAGGAACACGCUGAAGGAUGGUAUCAUCAUGAUCCAGACGCUGCUGAUCAUCCUCUUCAUCAUCGUGCCCAUCUUCCUGCUGCUGGACAAGGAUGACAGCAAGGCUGGCAUGGAGGAAGAUCACACCUACGAGGGCCUGGACAUUGACCAGACAGCCACCUACGAGGACAUAGUGACGCUGCGGACAGGGGAAGUGAAGUGGUCUGUAGGUGAGCACCCAGGCCAGGAGUGAGAGCCAGGUCGCCCCACGCCCUGGGUGCAGGCUCCCUGGCCUCAGUGACUGCUUCGGAGCUGCCUGGCUCAUGGCCCAACCCCUUUCCCGGACCCCCAGCUGGCCUCUGAAGCUGGCCCGCCAGAGCUGCCAUUCAUCUCCAGCCCCUGGUCCCCAGCUCUUGCCAAAGGGCCUGGAGUAGAAGGACAACAGGGCAGCAACUUGGAGGGAGUUCUCUGGGGAUGGACGGGACCCAGCCUUCUGGGGGUGCUAUGAGGGGAUCCGCCCCCACACAUGGGAUGGGGGAGGCAGAGACUGGUCCAGAGCCCGCAAAUGGACUCGGAGCCGAGGGCCUCCCAGCAGAGCUUGGGAAGGGCCAUGGACCCAACUGGGCCCCAGAAGAGCCACGGGAACAUCAUUCCUCUCCCGCAACCGCUCCCACCCCAGGGAGGCCCUGGCCUCCAGUGCCUUCCCCCGU